Trypanosoma theileri is the source of this 82-nucleotide transfer RNA. It matches the Rfam family "tRNA". Rfam says of the family: Transfer RNA (tRNA) molecules are approximately 80 nucleotides in length. Their secondary structure includes four short double-helical elements and three loops (D, anti-codon, and T loops). NCBI's taxonomy places the organism in Eukaryota, Euglenozoa, Kinetoplastea, Trypanosomatida, Trypanosomatidae. The record is from Rfam.
GCUGGGGUUCCCGAGAUGGUCAAAGGGGUAAGACUUAAGUUCUUAUGCGCAAGCUUCGUGGGUUCGAACCCCACCACCAGCA